GCGAGCGUAGUUUAAUGGUAGAACCUCAGCCUUCCAAGCUGAUGACGGGGGUCCGAUUCCCCUCGCUCGCUCCA
Molecule: transfer RNA, 74 nt
Filed under: Anaeroplasmataceae bacterium
Lineage: Bacteria; Bacillati; Mycoplasmatota; Mollicutes; Anaeroplasmatales; Anaeroplasmataceae
Description: tRNA-Gly
Rfam family: tRNA
About the family: Transfer RNA (tRNA) molecules are approximately 80 nucleotides in length.
Source: RNAcentral